GACGAACGCUGGCGGCGUGCCUAACACAUGCAAGUCUGGGAGAAUUGGGUAGCAAUAUCCAUUGUAAACCGGCGCACGGGUGAGUAAUAUAUAGGUAAUAUGCCUUUUGGUUUGGAAUAACCCCGCGAAAGCGGGGCUAAUACCGGAUAAUACAGCGAUUCCGCAUGGAGUUGCUGUCAAAGCUUCGGCGCCAAGAGAUUAACCUGUAUCCCAUUAGAUAGUUGGCGAGGUAACGGCUCACCAAGUCUGCGAUGGGUAGCUGAUCUGAGAGGAUGAUCAGCCACACUGGAACUGAGACACGGUCCAGACUCCUACGGGAGGCAGCAGUGAGGAAUAUUGCGCAAUGGAGGAAACUCUGACGCAGCGACGCCGCGUGAAGGAUGAAGGCCCUCUGGGUUGUAAACUUCUGUAGAGAGGGAAGAAUUUUUCGCCUUCGGCGAAUUGACGGUACCUCUAAAGUAAGGGUCGGCUAAACUACGUGCCAGCAGCCGCGGUAAU
This 498-nucleotide ribosomal RNA is filed under the name uncultured bacterium. RNAcentral describes it as "bacterial SSU rRNA". It matches the Rfam family "Bacterial small subunit ribosomal RNA", at positions 28 to 524 of the family's 1533-position model. The record is from RNAcentral.